UAAAAAGAUAAGCUAAACAAGCUAUCAGGUUCAUACCCUGACCAUAGAAGUAUAAGUCUUCUUCUUUUUAG
Molecule: transfer RNA, 71 nt
Filed under: Lethocerus deyrollei
Lineage: Eukaryota; Metazoa; Arthropoda; Insecta; Hemiptera; Belostomatidae
Description: tRNA-Met
Source: RNAcentral